This 506-nucleotide ribosomal RNA is filed under the name uncultured bacterium. RNAcentral's name for it is "partial 16S ribosomal RNA". It matches the Rfam family "Bacterial small subunit ribosomal RNA", at positions 29 to 523 of the family's 1533-position model. The record is from RNAcentral.
AGUGAACGCUGGCGGUAGGCCUAACACAUGCAAGUCGAACGGCAGCACAGGAGAGCUUGCUCUCUGGGUGGCGAGUGGCGGACGGGUGAGGAAUACAUCGGAAUCUACUUUUUCGUGGGGGAUAACGUAGGGAAACUUACGCUAAUACCGCAUACGACCUACGGGUGAAAGCAGGGGACCUUCGGGCCUUGCGCGAUUGAAUGAGCCGAUGUCGGAUUAGCUAGUUGGCGGGGUAAAGGCCCACCAAGGCGACGAUCCGUAGCUGGUCUGAGAGGAUGAUCAGCCACACUGGAACUGAGACACGGUCCAGACUCCUACGGGAGGCAGCAGUGGGGAAUAUUGGACAAUGGGCGCAAGCCUGAUCCAGCCAUACCGCGUGGGUGAAGAAGGCCUUCGGGUUGUAAAGCCCUUUUGUUGGGAAAGAAAUCCAGCUGGCUAAUACCCGGUUGGGAUGACGGUACCCAAAGAAUAAGCACCGGCUAACUUCGUGCCAGCAGCCGCCGCCG